RNAcentral lists this long non-coding RNA (203 nucleotides) under Populus trichocarpa (black cottonwood). RNAcentral describes it as "long non-coding RNA (PTRI_LNC000231)". The record is from RNAcentral. Lineage: Eukaryota; Viridiplantae; Streptophyta; Magnoliopsida; Malpighiales; Salicaceae.
AGAAGUACUACGCUAAAAGAAAUCGAAGUGUCGAGCCAUUUGUUUAAGUGUAAAUUUAAAUAAUAUGAAAAAAAACGAAAAUAAUAAAUAAAUUGAUAAAAAAAAAGAACAACAUUGAAGUGUCGAGCCAUUUGUUUAAGUGGAAAUUUAAAUAAUAUUAAAAAAAACAACAAUAAAUAAAUUAACAAAAAAAAUAAAAAAAA